AUUUUAUACCGAAGAAGGGAGAGAAUGGGCUCGACGAUCUUCUAGCAACCUGUCGCCACCAGGAUAAGGUGCUAACUCCUACCAAUGAUCAAUUGGAGCUAUAAAAU
This 107-nucleotide non-coding RNA is filed under the name Chryseolinea serpens. RNAcentral's name for it is "SAM-I sequence". It matches the Rfam family "SAM riboswitch aptamer (S box leader)". Rfam says of the family: The SAM riboswitch is found upstream of a number of genes which code for proteins involved in methionine or cysteine biosynthesis in Gram-positive bacteria. The SAM riboswitch acts at the level of transcription termination control. The predicted structure consists of a complex stem-loop region followed by a single stem loop terminator region. The record is from Rfam by way of RNAcentral. Lineage: Bacteria; Pseudomonadati; Bacteroidota; Cytophagia; Cytophagales; Fulvivirgaceae.